UCCCUGGAGGACUAGUGGUUACGCCACAGUGCUCCCACCACUGCGGCCCGGGUUGGAUUCCUGGCCAGGGAG
Molecule: transfer RNA, 72 nt
Filed under: Pangasianodon hypophthalmus (striped catfish)
Lineage: Eukaryota; Metazoa; Chordata; Actinopteri; Siluriformes; Pangasiidae
Description: tRNA-Gly
Source: RNAcentral